CGUAGGACAUGAAUCGUUGAACAAACGAACUUUGGUAGCGGUUACACCACCUGGGUGUCCUGAUCCAACAUCGAGGUCGUAAGCCUCCCCGGCGAUAUGGACUCUUGGGGAAGAUGGCGCUGUUAUCCCUGGGGUAACUUGGUCCGGUUAUCAGUAUUACUGGGUCUGAUAUGAUUGUUUGGCUUGUAGGCCUUGUGGUGGAGGUUAGUCUGGUCUCGUGGAGUUCUUUUUUUCUCCGUAGUCGCCCCAACUUAAAAACAUACACUAUGGUUUUUGAUAGGUGUGCCCAGAGUUGGGAUAUUUGUUUAGGUAGUGGUUGGUUUGAAGCUCCACAGGGUCUUCUCGUCUUGUGGGUUUAUCUCAGCUUUUGUACUGAAAGAUCAAUUUCAUUGAUUAGUCAUAGGGGACAGUAAAGCCCUCAGUUAGCCGUUCAUACGGGUCUCUAUUUAGGGGACAAGUGAUUACGCUACCUUUGCACGGUUAUGAUACCGCGGCCGUUGAAU
RNAcentral lists this ribosomal RNA (503 nucleotides) under Pachydactylus sansteynae. Its description in RNAcentral is "partial 16S ribosomal RNA". The record is from RNAcentral. Lineage: Eukaryota; Metazoa; Chordata; Lepidosauria; Squamata; Gekkonidae.